GACGAACGCUGUCGGCGUUCUUAACACAUGCAAGUCGAACGGAAAUUCCCUUCUUGCAUGGUUCUCGAGUGGCGAACGGGUGAGUAACACGUGUUUGAUCUGCCCCUUACUUUGUGAUAAGCCUUUGAAACUGGGUCUAAUACUGGAUAGCACCAUUCUGUAGUUGGUGUGGUGGAAAGAUUAGUUUCGGUAAGGGAUAAGCUCGCGUCCUAUCAGCUUUUUGGUGGGGUAAUGGCCUACCAAGGCGUCGACGGGUAGCCGGCCUGAGAGGGUGGCCGGCCACAUUGAGACUGGGAGACGGCCCAGACGCCUACGGGAGGCAGCAGUGGGGAAUAGUGAACAAUGGGAGCAAGCCUGAUGCAGCGACGCAGCGUGGGGGAUGACGGCCUUCGGGUUGUAAACGCCUUUCAGCCAUGACGAAGCGCGUGUGGUGACGGUAGUGGUAGAAGAAGAACAGGCUAACUAAGAG
RNAcentral lists this ribosomal RNA (469 nucleotides) under uncultured bacterium. RNAcentral describes it as "partial 16S ribosomal RNA". It matches the Rfam family "Bacterial small subunit ribosomal RNA", at positions 28 to 507 of the family's 1533-position model. The record is from RNAcentral.